Molecule: transfer RNA, 75 nt
Filed under: Paraburkholderia sp. Cpub6
Lineage: Bacteria; Pseudomonadati; Pseudomonadota; Betaproteobacteria; Burkholderiales; Burkholderiaceae
Description: tRNA-OTHER
Source: RNAcentral
GGUGUAUCGGUCUUCAAACCCAGUUGAGGGCGUCAGACGCUCUCGGGUCGGUUCGACUCCGGCUGCCUUCCGCCA